CUGGAGAUAAGAAAGAUAAAAUAAAAAAAACUUACCUUGGCUUGAAAUGUUUGGUGGUGGUGGGGUGUGUGUCCAAAUUCAUUCCCAGGAUGAUGUUAAUCAUUGUAAACUUCCUAAGCUUUACUGGAAUAUGAGUGGAAAACUACUACACGAGGCGAUGCUCACGAUCCUGUUUCCUUGUGCUCAUGGCAGAGCUGGUUUCACAACAGGAGUCACGCAAGGCUGAGGACAUGGACAGAGGGCAAUGUUUCCUUGCUCAGCUGUCCAUGACCAAGCUGGAACUAACACAGUGCGAGUGAGUGUGACUGAUGGCCAGGCACUUGGAUUUACGUGUAUGGAGACAUGUCCAGACACUCAACCAGCCUUUGUGCCAUGUCAUGGAGCUUAUGCAGAGCCUUUAGCCUGAGCUGGAAAGUGCAGGCUCUGAGCAGCUUCUGCAAGGAGUGUGGAGUAUUGGCUGCUUCAGCAGAACAAAUACUUGAAAAUAUAUGAAAGAAAUCCUGCAGGUGUACCUUGGGCACAUAAUGGGAGCAGGAAAAAAGCUACUCCUAAGAUUUUGUGGAACAUCUGUGGAGACAGCAUCAUUUAAAGCCAAAGGUAAAACAGACUGGUUGUCUCUCCAGUAUAGAGUCCUGUAAUAAAAAAAAAAAACAAAAAGGGGGGGGGAAAUGUUUCAGAAUUUUGCUGUCUGGGUGUGAAGUUUUCUGUAUGUUAAGCUUUGCUUACAGUGACAUGAAUACCAUUAAUGUAGUUACAAAAUUAGCUUCUUUCAAAUCAUUAAAAUAUUUUUCCAAAAGACAGUCUGCUACUCUACAAAAGUCCACAGAGCAAAAACCCAAAACAUCCCUUUCAGAGCUCUUCUUUGUACAACAGAUAUCAUUAUAUGCCAUUCUGCCCCAUGGAAAAAGCUAUAGUUUCAAUUUUAAUUUUACAGGAGAGCAACAGACACAUGGUUGCUUUAGCAAGAGAAAGUUGGUUUAGGACAAACUGGGUCAAGCUGUCUUUAUCAAUUGGUUUAAGAACAAAACAAUUUUUAAAGCUCAUUCUUCCAUUGCAGCAUCCAUUUUUAACAUAUCUUCACAGCAGGUGACAUGAUCUAUAAAUAUAGGCGAAAGUGAUAAUAAAAAUGUUGAGACAUAAAUCAGAAAUGGAAAAUUUUGUAAUAGUUUAAUAGAUUCAACGAAAUUUAAGCAAAAACUUAUUAAAAGAUGUUCAACUUACCUAGCAGCUCCAAUACGAAUUAAAAAAGGCUUAUUAAAUGGUCUAAUUUAUAGGGCAUGUAACUUGAGAUUCAUCUUCUUACUUACAGGAAAUACAAAGAACAUGUCAUCUGAUAUGAAUUUGCAUAUGAUUUUCUUCAAGAGGCAAACAUACUUAAAAUGUGAGGAAAAUACUUGAAGACCAAGGCAUAAAGGAGACAGCUACAGAAGCACAUACUUAAAUAUCUUACAGAAUACUCCAGGGGAAGCUUAUAGAUCGUAAAUUACAGUUUUCUCCAACAGAACAAUGACCUUUCAGUGAAGGAAAAAGCUGCUCUACACCAGUCUUGUGAGUACAGAGGCCUCAAGAUGAAGAACAUCACUGGUGCCUUGCCAAGCAUUUUAGAGUUAUUGACAGCUGAGAGUUGGUUCUAUUUAAUGGGGACUUUCAGGAAAGCUGUUUGAGGCUGUGCUCCAGUUCAGACAAGUAAGAUGUGGUUGCAUCAUCCUUGUAGUGUCAGGCCAGCAUCCUGAUGUUGCAGCAAGGCUAACAGCCAAGACAGUUGAGGAAUAAAGUGCUUUGAGACUAGAGGAGGAACGUGAGCAGUAUCCAUAUUGGUCUGAGGUGCUACUGGAUAACCUCCACAGGCACUGUGCACUGUGUCCUGCACGUUCAUACUUCAACAACAGAUGCAGAGUCCUUUGUCCUCGGUGGUGUGCCCACAGAUGCCUGACUAGUUCCUGCAGCAUUGUUUAUUGAGUGCCCUAGAAAAGGCACCAGUCCUGUGAAAAAUAAAUAAGCAGUACUCAGUUGUACAUAUCUUGACAGAAGAGGGCUGUUUUAAAUUUGCAUGCGUAAUCUUUGUUUAAAGUUUCUUGUUAAAUUUCAAGUUUCUUAGCUUUUGAGUGCUUGAUGUAAUGCUUUUAAUAACCUUCUGGUAGACCUUUUCUAAUUUUUUUUUUUUUGAAAAAACCCCACCAAAGCCAAAGAGAGAACAUGAGACAAGCCAUUACCUGGGUUCUAAAUGAGCAAGGUCACUGGCAGAACCUCGGCCUUUGCAUCCGUGGUGAGAACAGCUUUAGCAUUUCAACUGCACCUGGAAGAAACCACAGAUUAGGUAAAUGUGAGAAGAAGAUGAGGUUUGGCCUGCAUUAGUGGGUUUCCCAUGCUGACUCAUGGCCUGGGAAACCUGGAGGGAGGCAGAAUUUUUCUUGUGAUAGACUCCUGAGAAAAACUGUAGUUUUGAUAAAUUAUAAACUCUCCUUCCCUGGAUUUUCAUCAGCAUAUUAAUAACAUGGAGCAAGCUAAAAUAGAUACUUAAAUAUACCUGUAUUUCUGCUAUGCUUGUUUAUGAUUUCCUAAUAGAAUAUUUUAUACAACUACCAUAACUUGUAAACUAUUUUCUGAUCUUGCUCUGAGCCACAUAUCACAGAAGCCCAGGAAGAUUCAAGGACACAGAUCUGAUAAAGAACAAAAAAUUUUUGAGUAGAGAAGCAACUUUUCUUCUCUGUUCCCACAUCUAUCUUAAAGGGUUUUAUGAUUUCAGUGCUAGUGAAGCAAAGGAAGGAUAUUCCUUGAGUAGGUUGUGUUGCACAAUGUAGGCAGGUUACGUGCAACACAUGCUAAGGACAAACGUUGUCCUUAGCAAACAUUGGUCAAUGCUGCUUUCUUAGCUGGUUCAAGAAAUACAGACGCUGGAGUUGAAUUUCAGUUGAUGAAAGUGGCUGUGUGUUCCUUCCAGUAAAUCUGUUUGUUAGCCUUUCCUUUGUACAUUUAGCUUCCUAAAAGUUAGUUCUUUUCCUCCGUAGUGUUAGUCACACCUCAGAUAACUUAAAAAAUUCUUUCCUUAUUUUCUGUUUGUAUUUACAUGCCCCCAACCCCAUCCAUAUUUUCUGUUUACUUUAAUAUUUGUGCUGUUCUGCUGUUGUUUCCACCCUGUCUUGUCCUGUGUUUUCUGCAUUUCAUUUUCUUUUCCAAAUCAGCACCAGACUGCCCCCAGCAGCUCCCUUCUGUCUGGAAAUAUCAGGAAGAGCACAGAGCAUGUAAGACCUGGUGUCUCCCCUUCUCAGAGGACAGCUGAGGCUAAUUUUGCUAAGCAUUAAAAACAGGAAGCAAAUAAUUCAGCAAGAUAUGGACACCUGGGAUGGCAAACUUCAACAUGGGGGUUUUGUUUUUGUUGUUUUUAAAAUUGUAAGCAGCAUUUUAGAGCAGAAAGUCCUCAUUUUACCUGGAGACGCUGUGAUCAGUGCACAUAAAUGCUGCUGUCAUCUUGCUCCAUUGACUUAAGUUAUGUAUGAAAGAUCCAAGUGGUCACUAGAUGUCUCUGAUACGUCACUCAGUGCAGCUCAGCUGAAAAACACAGAAAGAAAUCAAGUUUCGUCUUUAUAGCAAAUAGAAAGCAAGACAGUAUCUCAUCUCUUCAAUAGUUGUUGAUGGUAAAAUAGAAUUCUACUGGGAAAGAAACCAAAACCUCAUGGUUAUGAACCAGAUGAAACUAUUAUUCCAUAUAUUUUGUUGUUGUCCUCCUUUAUCUGCAGAAGGAUAAAUUCACUCAAGUCUUUACUACCAUAAUUACCACUGCCACAGGCUCCUCAAGGGUUAAAGUUCCCUUGCCUUCCAGGACUGUUCACCUCCUGAGCAAAAGGGCAGAGAUGACUGAAAGUUUCAUUCCAGGUUUCACCUGGCAUCACACCUGGAUUAUCACCCUUGAGCCAAAUUCUGCCAAACCUGUGUUUCCUAACAGGCACUUCAAAUAAAAUCCAAGUCCCCUUAUCAUUUUUUAAGGUGCUACUAUAAUUUCCAGGUAUCCUGUACCUAUUGUGCUUUAAAAUCAGGUAUGUUUGUAUAACUGAAGGUUAAUAUGAUUUUAUAACAAUGUGUUUCAACUUCUGGUAAUCACUUAUCACUUGCAAUCAGAUACUCUGAGAUCCAGACAAAUAUGUCUCUUGUACUAUUACACAAUACUCCCAAGAACAUUGUUUUCCUCUGGUUCAUAGGCAUGGUAAUAAGGCCAUUAGUCUUUCUGCCACUUCUCAGAGUGGUUUCAAAACCAGCUAACAAAUUUCCUGAUGGCAAAUACUUCUUCUCCUACUGGCACUUAUUGUUCUUCUGAAGAAAAGCUGCAAAUAAAUGGAAAACACAGAUGAAACUUUACCCUUUCUUGUGAUUGUGGCACUACCAGGAUAUUGCAGCAGCAAGCACUGGUGUUUUUCCACCACAUAAGUUCUUUUUUUUCUGGAAAAGAACAGAACAGCAGCGCAAUUAUUCUUUAAACUUGGCCUAAAAAAAACUGCAAGAGGCACAGCCCACAAUUUAUACAAGAUAAAGUAGCUCUGCCAGCCUGUGUCACAAUCCUGUCAGUUAUGUUCACAUAAGGCUGAAUAUGAACUCAAUUUUCUCAAGAACCAUGGGGCUUGCUUGUUUUUGAGGGUUUUUUUAAUCAAAUUUCUAAAAAAAUCAGAAAGUCACAGAAAAAUUCUCAUUUGCUGUAAUUGAAGGUUAAUUUCUUCACAUAUGGUAGGGAUUGAUGGGAGCUGGUGUGAGCUUUUUAAGUGCUCAAAAUUGCUAAUAGUAUUCCUAAGCUAAAACAACUAAAUAAAUUAUACCAUUAUAAAAGAAGAUAUAACUCUGGACCAGAGAGAAUUCUCUCUGAAAUAAAUAUCCAUAAUUUUUAUGGCCAUGGCCUCACGGUUAAAUAUACUGUAAUAACAAUUGUAUUCAAUUCAUCUUAUGUGAGACACAAUCCAUUUGCUUCAAAAGGGGCUGAAUUUUUGCCAUCCUUUUACUUAUACUAAGAUAUUAAUUCUUAAAAUUGGCCUCUAUAGCCAAUGAGUAACUUAUUUUCUGAUUUAAACAUCUUACUUUUACUUUGCAUUUGUGUAGCAAAUUAUUAUAAACUAAGAAAAAAAGACUAACCUGGAUUUUUCCUGGUCUGGUCAUUAUAAAUCAGGGAUUAUUGUUGCUCUUUGCACUUCUAAAAAAGAUUUUAUCAAAAUUAUAUAUACUACCAUAAAAGAACACAGAAACAAUUUAUUCUGUUUCUUCUUGUGCCCAACCUCUCCAUCCAUUAAAAAAAAUCUAUUAAUAUGUAAAUGGAAGAUUCAGAUCUUUCACAAAAAAUAGACCAAAAUUCUGGUGUUUUAAACAGCAUUUUAGGGUAUAAAUUGAUAGGGUUAUACACAAACACAAAAAAAUCUAUCUAAAAGAAAAAAAUAACCAUUUCUGGGUAAUUUUCCUCUGUGGAACUGCAAAGAAUAAGCAACAUUCUACUGAGUAUCUACCUACACGAGGAUUUUAGUUGCCAUGUAUGAAACCCACGAGAUAUAAACACAUUCCAGGCUUGUCUGUAGACUAUUGCUUUUAUUAGCGAAUUUUAUUUCUUCCACAUGUGGUGGUUGACACUGGAAUUUUUUUUUUUCUCUGAAGUUCAUGAAAGUUAGGAGAUAAAAGUCCAUGCAAAAGAACGUGGACAUCAUUUUUUAUGAAGAAGGCAGGGAACUGGCAGAAGUCCCUUUGAUAUCUUCAGUUUUAUGUAUGAGGUGUAGUCAAGACUUUGGGCACAGAACAAGGAAGUGCUUCAGAGUGGUAGAAGGGGAAGGCCAGAGUGCAGCAGAAGAGUUGAGAACAAUGUUAUAUGGGGAUAUUUUACAAAAAUAACUGAGCUGUUUCAUUUAAUUACCCGAAAUGCUACAGAUCAAGUGUGAACCAUAAAGGGGGAACUGCUGCCUAGCAGUUCAUAAAGAAAAACACCACAUCUGAGGUGUUUUUAUUUUUUAGCAGCAUAUAUGUUCUUGAUUUGUUUUUUUUUCCUUUUCUCAGUACUAAUGGCUAAAAUGGAAAGAAAUUGGAAUCUCAGAGCUAGCCUAGAUGCUUUUCUUAUUGAUGUUAUAAAUACUAGCUUUUGACUGAAGAAAAAAAUAAAUCUUUUUUUUCUUACCUGGAUAAAAAACCCCCAAGUGUUUAGAAGUCUAAAUCUGUUCAGAUAUAGAUGAUAUAUUGUGUUAGGCCAUUUUUAAGAUUUUACACAUUAAGGAUUUUAACAAGAGAUUUCUCUAGUCAGCUUGAAAACACCAAUGUGGUAGAAAUAAAGUACUCAUUAAGCAAAGGAAUAGAAUACUCCACAACUAGUUGGAGAUCUAUGUAAAUGAAUAUGCUUAUUUGGUUCUGAUAGUAAAAGAUCAUGUUGGUAGUGUUCUUUUUUCCUUGGGUGGGGGUCCCUUUCUCUAACAUGAUGCCUUUUUGUGACAGGUAAUCACCUUGCUUUAACAAAGAAUCUGCAUGAGUAAAAGACUCAAAAAUUGCUAGCAACAUUUACUUACUUAAAUACUAAUAAAUAAAAAUUAAGUGGUAGUUUUAAGUAGACUUUCUGCUCUUUCCAGAAGCUUGAGUGCAGCUGGUCAGAGCUAAGCCCAGGAAAAUUAAAAGGUAUUAAUUUAGCCUUCCUUUUUCUCAGUGUACCCUGAGAGUCAGAAUUUUCAUCAUGGCAUAAUCUAUUUCCUUCCCAUUUGAAACUUUUGGCUAAAAUGGUAUCAUGCUCAUAAGUCUCAAAGCAAGCUACUUUGUAAGGCAUGUUCACACUUUGAAAUCUAUCUAACAUGGUACUGGGUGUACUUUUUCAGCUUCCUUGGGUCUUCCUGCACAGAGGCCAAAUGUGGAGAAGGAGCAGGAUAUGAAGUGUUUAUAAAUGUAUUUUUAACUCUACUCCCCUCAGGUAGUAUGAAAAUGAUAAUGGGUUGCCCCAUGACCCCUCAUGGCAAGGUAUGUAUGUAAGAAUUUGCUACUUGUGGUACUCUACUGAGCUGCCCCUGCUCACCAGCUACCCAAGCUGAGCAAGCAGUGAAAACAUUUUGUAAAAGAUAAAUAUUUUGUAAAAGAUAGUUUUCUGAGGGAAUGUGCUGCUUUAGCAACAAAAUGCAAUCUUUAGCAUUUUAUACACAUAUCUUUGUCUACUUGGAUCUAAUGCAAUAUUUAGCUUAGUGUUUUAUAGAGAGUAGCUUCUAAACUAAGAUAAUUAAUUGUAACUGGUACUGUUAACAUUUUCAUAAAGCAUAAAUUAAAUGUGGAUGCUGAAUGAGCCAGUGUGUGCUUAAAUAUGAUGCAAGCUCUAUAAUUGAAAGUGAGGUACAAAAAAACCUGAGACCUUAAUUGCUCCAGUGAAGUCAACUCUGGGCAUCUCUUUUAAGAGAAACUAUUAAGUACUUGGAAACUCUUCCACUAUGAAGCUAUGGGCAAUUUUAACUUCAGAUUUCUCCAAUAUCCCAGGUCAGACCUUGCAAUUUUCCUCUAAUCUUCACAAAGGCAAAGAGACAAUCUAAUGAA
This is a long non-coding RNA of Lepidothrix coronata (blue-crowned manakin), 7518 nucleotides long. RefSeq lists it as uncharacterized. The record is from RefSeq and is a predicted model, not a curated record. The transcript is spliced from 4 exons. NCBI's taxonomy places the organism in Eukaryota, Metazoa, Chordata, Aves, Passeriformes, Pipridae.